Molecule: transfer RNA, 72 nt
Filed under: bacterium
Lineage: Bacteria
Description: tRNA-Arg
Rfam family: tRNA
About the family: Transfer RNA (tRNA) molecules are approximately 80 nucleotides in length. Their secondary structure includes four short double-helical elements and three loops (D, anti-codon, and T loops). Further hydrogen bonds mediate the characteristic L-shaped molecular structure. tRNAs have two regions of fundamental functional importance: the anti-codon, which is responsible for specific mRNA codon recognition, and the 3' end, to which the tRNAs corresponding amino acid is attached (by aminoacyl-tRNA synthetases). tRNAs cope with the degeneracy of the genetic code in two manners: having more than one tRNA (with a specific anti-codon) for a particular amino acid; and 'wobble' base-pairing, i.e. permitting non-standard base-pairing at the 3rd anti-codon position.
Source: RNAcentral
GCUCCCGUCGUUCAAUGGAUAGGACAUAAGUUUGCGGAACUUAAAAUAUAGGUUCGAUUCCUAUCGGGAGCA